Molecule: ribosomal RNA, 253 nt
Filed under: uncultured bacterium
Lineage: Bacteria
Description: partial 16S ribosomal RNA
Rfam family: Bacterial small subunit ribosomal RNA
Source: RNAcentral
UACAGAGGGUGCAAGCGUUAAUCGGAAUUACUGGGCGUAAAGCGCGUGUAGGUGGAUUGGUGUGUCAGAUGUGAAAUCCCUGGGCUCAACCCAGGAACUGCACCUGAAACUACCAGUCUUGAGUGGUGGAGAGGGAAGUGGAAUUCCUGGUGUAGAGGUGAAAUUCGUAGAUACCAUAAAGAACUCCUAUUGCGAAGGCAGCUUACUAGGCUGUAACUGACGCUGAGGCACGAAAGCGUGGGGAUCAAACAGG